Molecule: non-coding RNA, 2052 nt
Organism: Cyanistes caeruleus (blue tit)
Lineage: Eukaryota; Metazoa; Chordata; Aves; Passeriformes; Paridae
Source: RefSeq, a predicted model, not a curated record
GGCCCCUCAGGAACCCGAAACACCCACCCACAGCCCAGCCUUUCCCCUGGCCUCGCUGCCCGCUCCAUUAAACACUCCGCGCCGUGCGGAUGAUUUCGGUGCAGAACGCUCUGCCAUGCAAACGAGCGCAAUUAAUGCCUUUGAAACAAUUUAUGAUUUCCGGCCUACUUCAACAUGUAUUAGCAUAUACCUGGUUUCUUUAAUAUACACUUUGUUUUUCCAAAACCACAAACAUAGUUGCUGGAAUUUCAUGUGGAAGUGCUUAAGGGGCUGAAAGUUAACACCUUUGUGAGCUGAGCAGUCUCACAGUUGCUGCUAAACAAAAGCCUCUUUGUAGAAGCUUUCUCGAAAUGUUUUCUUAACAUGUUCCAAGUAGUUUUAGGCAGGCAACUAAAGUAAACAAGAUGUUACCAUGAUAAAAACACUUGUGAAAACAUUACAGAGUGCACUUAGUAGUUUCUUUCACAUAAACUCCCCUUCGUUUCAUCCAAGUUAAAUGCACAUGAAGCAGAUUAGCAGCAUCACUGCAACACAGGACUGCCACAUCUCUCCAAAGGAGGAAAAGAAAUGAACCAUGUUUUAGACCCGCGAGUCCUUUUUUCUCCCUUAACUGAAGAAUCAUUUUAUUGGCAUACAGGGCUUUCAUUCCACAUACAACUUCUCUCUGCCUUUUCACAAGGAACGACUGGAAGUCUUCACAUACUGCUUCACAGCCCGGCCAUUUGCAUACGCCGUGUCCGUACAGCGGGUGGCUGUGUGAGUGCUCCUCGUGGGAUAAACUGGAUGGGGGAAAGAGAAGAGAGAAAAAAUGCUGUAAACUGAAGUAUGUCUGUGCUGUAUUAUGGACUUCAAACAUACACAAAGGAUAUGAACACAUACCAACAUCUAGGUGUGGCUUUUAUGACUUACUUCAUCCUGGAUUACAGGUAACAUUAUAGAUGCACUGGGUAGACAGAUCACUGUAAAUAUGCUCCUGAGAUGUUAUCCCAAAUACAAACUAGUUGGAAGAGGAAACCCUCCCAAAUUCUGCCACUUUUGACUUAAAGCCCAAGGAGAAUCUGAAGAUUACUAAAGGGAACUUGCACAAGACAAGACAAACUAUGUAGGACAUGACACUCUGGUACUGUGUCCAAAGAAAAUGAUGGAAUGACCAAGACAAUAUCAAACUCUAAAUGAUGCUCAGGAUGUGAAAGGCUCGUGCUGUCAAUAACCUAAAGGCUGGUGCUGACUGUAAAUGGGAACUUAAAAGGUCACUUUGCUAACACCUAUGCAGAGCUUCCACUGCCAUUCAACCAAGAAGAGGAACUACUUCAACUUACCAAAAAUAAGAUAUUUCAAAGAGAAAAAACCCUCAGUCCUGAGAGACAAACACCGGCCCCUCUGCAGGCACUGUGCCAUUCCAAAGGCAGCGACUCCCAUCCUGCUUGGGAGGGUUUCAGCAGCGCCUUUCGGUGACCUUUAUGUGUCAGUAUCAGAUUACUGCUAUUUUAUCCAUCCCACUUUUGAAGAUAUUAUAGAUUGCCACUUGUUCCCUGAUAGAGCCUGAAGAAGCACCUCAAAACAAAACAAAGAGCGGGUUUAUACAGAGGCGGAUGUAACGCACAAAGGAUACAGCCAGUGGAAAUGAAUGGAGAAGUCUGUUGAACUGAUCUAAGUACCCACUUUGUUUGAGCAAAUAGAGGUGGAAAAAAGAAGUUUUAAUCCAGUAAAUAAAUAAACAUCUUUGUGAGCAUAACGCAAACCCAUAAUCUGAAAUUGUUCACUGGUAUUUUGCCUGCACGCAAGCACACCUCCUGUAAUCUGGAUGCAUCCUUGGUCUCGUUGCUGGAGACAGACUUUUAGAAGAUCUGAGCAUUGGCAAGCAGAAGCAAGUUUUAGGUCUGUUUGAUUUCUAAUGACACAUUAGAGUAGGUGUUUGUUUCUGUCACCCUCUCCUUCCCAGGAAUGCAUAUUCAUGGUUGGGUACUGGUGAUGCAACACCAGUUAGUGGAAAUGAUUUUAUAACAAGAUAUAAUUUUCAAAGUAGUGAAGGAAUAAAUGAUGUAAAUUCAA